UACGUAGGGUGCAAGCGUUGUCCGGAAUUAUUGGGCGUAAAGAGCUCGUAGGCGGCUCGGUAAGUCAGGUGUCAAAUCCUCAGGCUCAACCUGGGGCUCCACCUGAUACUGCUGUGGCUAGAGUCCGGUAGGGGAGCGUGGAAUUCCUGGUGUAGCGGUGAAAUGCGCAGAUAUCAGGAGGAACACCAGCGGCGAAGGCGGCGCUCUGGGCCGGAACUGACGCUGAGGAGCGAAAGCGUGGGUAGCAAACAGG
Molecule: ribosomal RNA, 253 nt
Filed under: uncultured bacterium
Lineage: Bacteria
Description: partial 16S ribosomal RNA
Rfam family: Bacterial small subunit ribosomal RNA
Source: RNAcentral